This 355-nucleotide long non-coding RNA is filed under the name Bos taurus (domestic cattle). RNAcentral describes it as "long non-coding RNA NONBTAT009520". The record is from RNAcentral. Lineage: Eukaryota; Metazoa; Chordata; Mammalia; Artiodactyla; Bovidae.
AAUGGCUGCCAGCUCUCCACAGGGCCUCUGACUUCUACCUUUGGUGUCAAAACUCUUGCUUGAAUACACUUAGCAAUUUGAGUUCCCACCCCUACCCCACCCUUGGGUAUAUAUCAGGCCCCUUGCUCAGAUACAAAUAAGGCAGAAGUUGGGCGUUUUCAGCCAUUUGAAAACCAGUACACUCCCCACUGUGGUGUGGUCAGCUGCUAAGUUCCCAUUUUCAACAAACCAACUGGUGCAACUCAAGGUGCAAGGUUUUAAAUAUCCCAGGGGCCCAGAGCAUAGACUCUUGAACAUUUUUUAGCACCGAACAGGCCUGGCCAUGGUGAGCAGUGAAUGCAAGGGCUCUAACUCC